This 463-nucleotide ribosomal RNA is filed under the name uncultured bacterium. Its description in RNAcentral is "partial 16S ribosomal RNA". It matches the Rfam family "Bacterial small subunit ribosomal RNA", at positions 28 to 507 of the family's 1533-position model. The record is from RNAcentral.
GAUGAACGCUGACAGAAUGCUUAACACAUGCAAGUCGAUGGGGAAGUGGUGCUUGCACCAUGGUAACCAUGGCGGACGGGUGAGUAACGCGUAAGGAACUUGCCUGCGGGACUGGGAUAACAGCAGGAAACUGCUGAUAAUACCGGAUAAGGUCAUUAAGCUGCAUAGCUUAGUGAUGAAAGGAGACGCCUGCGGAGAGCCUUGCGUCCUAUUAGCUAGUUGGAGGGGUAACGGCCCACCAAGGCGAAGAUAGGUAGCCGGCCUGAGAGGGUGGACGGCCACAAGGGGACUGAGAUACGGCCCUUACUCCUACGGGAGGUAGCAGUGGGGAAUAUUGGACAAUGGGGGCAACCCUGAUCCAGCAAUUCUGUGUGCACGAAGACGGUUUUCGGAUUGUAAAGUGCUUUCAGCAGGGAAGAAGGAAGUGACGGUACCUGCAGAAGAAGCGACGGCUAAAUACGUG